ACGCCCAGCUGAUUUUUUGUAUUUUUAGUAGAGACGGGGUUUUGCCAUGUUGGCCAGGCUGGUCUCGAACUCCUGACCUCAGGUGAUCCACCCAUUUUGGCCUCCCAAAGUACUGGGAUUACAGGCGUGAGCACCCGUGCCCGGCCACACCAUUAUUUUGAAGAGAAAAUUUGAUAAAAAUAAUUGGUCAGUUGUAAAAAUGGUUAACUACCCAACUGGUAAGAGAGAUUUCUAAGAGUUACAGAAUAGCAACUGCAGGAAGGAACUUGUGCCCUUAGGACUGAGGAAGUAAAAAGGAAGGAAACUUGGAAACACGGAAGAGCCCUUCCCCUUUCAAUUCAAGGUGGAGACUGGACCUCAGAAGAGGGAGUGGGUGCCCCGAGAACUCACAGCUAGUGGACAGCGGAAAGGGCAGGAGCCGGACCAAGUGUUCAUCCAUCGCCCUGUAUUAGCGAAGAACAACAUCAAGCUGGCUAGCAAGGAACUGUAUACAGGGUCCAGCUGGGUAUCACACUGGAUCUCACCCAAAGCUGAGAUGUGAUCCAGCUCCGUAUCACAAAGCAGAACGAAAAGGAUGUGUUUGGGCUGAGAGGCCAUACAUUGGCUCCGGCACGACGGGUGGCUUCUGCAGCACACAGGGCUUCGCCAGCACCCAGCUCCUGCAGCAUGGGCAGCUCCUGUGACAGCAGGCGCCCACAGCCUGCAAAGCGUCUCCAGUGCCGCCGCCUCAGUGAACCGCAACCAGCGGCACCUAGCAGCUUUCUCCGCCACCCUCUUCAGGCAGGAAGCCCGCCUGACCCCACGUCUCAGGCUGCCAGAGGAGCGUGCGAUGAGGAAGGCUGGACUGUCUUCACAGGACACCAGAGAGAAGCCUCAAGCCACUGCCCCCUGACAAGUCUCAGCUCUCCAGCCUGUCUCCUCACUCCCCUCCCCUCCACAUGGGGGGGUUGGGGUGGGGGCGGGGAAGGUUCGGGGCAGGGGUCAUUUCAGCUACUGGGCACCAGUCUCCUCCUCAUGUUUAUCCUGUUCCCUUUGCUUGAAAGGUUCGUACUCCAGAUCCUUGUAAAACCGCUUCUCACCCUUUGAGUCUCAGCUUAAAUGUCCCCUCCUUGGAGGGGUCUUCCCUGACAAUGAAGCUCCGACCGUCCUCUCCUGUUUUACCCAGUUCAUUUCUUUCUGGCAUUUGUAACUACUUGAAGUUAAAGUGUGUGCCAUGUAUGUGUCUGUCAGUUUCCCCCACCACACUGGAACCCCAUGAGGGCAAGGGUCUUG
This 1272-nucleotide long non-coding RNA is filed under the name Pan troglodytes (chimpanzee). RNAcentral's name for it is "long non-coding RNA NONPTRT006191". The record is from RNAcentral. Lineage: Eukaryota; Metazoa; Chordata; Mammalia; Primates; Hominidae.